RNAcentral lists this ribosomal RNA (406 nucleotides) under Eurystomus orientalis. RNAcentral's name for it is "partial 12S ribosomal RNA". It matches the Rfam family "Bacterial small subunit ribosomal RNA", at positions 787 to 1384 of the family's 1533-position model. Lineage: Eukaryota; Metazoa; Chordata; Aves; Coraciiformes; Coraciidae. The record is from RNAcentral.
CCCCUAUGCCUAGCCCUAAAUCCUGAUGCUUGCCUUACCAAAACAUCCGCCCGAGAACUACGAGCACAAACGCUUAAAACUCUAAGGACUUGGCGGUGUCCUAAACCCCCCUAGAGGAGCCUGUUCUAUAAUCGAUAACCCACGAUCCACCUAACCUCCCCUUGCCAAAGCAGCCUACAUACCGCCGUCGCCAGCUUACCUCCUAUGAGAGUACUAGAGUGAGCAAGAUAGCCUCAACUGCUAACAAGACAGGUCAAGGUAUAGCCAAUGGGAAGGAAGAAAUGGGCUACAUUUUCUAGCAUAGAAAACCAUACCAACGGAAGGGAGCAUGAAACUGCCCCCCGAAGGCGGAUUUAGCAGUAAAGCGGGACAAUAAAACCCCCUUUAAGUCGGCCCUAGGACACGU